GAAAAGUUGCACACAAAUCACACAAAAGAAAAGGACAUUAGGUAAUUAGAUAAUAUACACUACACUCUAAUACCCCCCAAACUGGAACUAAACAUUGUCCCCAAUGUUAAGAAAUAAUGCAAGUAAAAAUGGAAAGUGACAAAAAGGAAUCAGAGGCUCCCCUAGUAUUGAUCUGCGGGCGGUGGAUGGAAUGGCAUAAACGCUCUUGAACUGGACAAGUCCGAUGUAGAUGGUGGCUGAUGAUUGGAUCUAGAGAGGUCUUGCAUCAAAGCACAUAGCUGAUCAAUUUGUCUAUGUGUAUCCGACCUGUUAUACAUGACCUCGUCCCUUGUAUUCAUGUCCUCCAAUCUGUUAUAUAUGGCCUCAUUUCUAAUGUGCAUAUCCUCAACCUGUCCCGUGAAUCUGUCUAAUUGUCUCCCCAUGAGGUCAUGUUCCCUAUGCAAUGUCAACCUUUCACCCAAAAGCCUAUUGAUAUCUCGCUCCAUAGCUUAUAGCUUGAUAUUCCUAGCAUGCUCCCUGUCAUCUUGGGCUUCCUGCCUGGCUUGUGAAGCAGUCAUUAUAUGCUCUAUAUGCUGUAAUGUUUGGUUAGUCUCUGUCAGACCAGCAAACAAUUGCCUCAUAAUCUGCAAAUCAGGUACGGCCUCUGGCCCCUACA
Molecule: long non-coding RNA, 655 nt
Filed under: Olea europaea subsp. europaea
Lineage: Eukaryota; Viridiplantae; Streptophyta; Magnoliopsida; Lamiales; Oleaceae
Source: RNAcentral